Molecule: long non-coding RNA, 298 nt
Filed under: Phaseolus vulgaris (common bean)
Lineage: Eukaryota; Viridiplantae; Streptophyta; Magnoliopsida; Fabales; Fabaceae
Description: long non-coding RNA (PVUL_LNC005271)
Source: RNAcentral
UUCCUCUAGGCUUCUGUAUAUGCCCAUUUAGAGAUGAACUGCCGAUAUUUGUUCCUCUAGGCAUUGGCAUAUGCCCAUUUGAAGAUGAACUGCUGAUAUUUGUUCCUCUAGGCAUUGGUAUAUGCCCAUUUGAAGAUGGGAUGUUGAUGCUUGUUCCUCUAGACAUCUGUAUAUGCCCAUUUGAAGAUGGAAUGUAAGAGUUUGUUCCUCUAGGCAUCUGCAUAUUUCCAUUUGAAGGUGAACUGUUGGAGCUUGUUCCUGGACCAGCAUAUUGAAAAUGAGGCUGUAACUGCAGUGG